ACAGAUCAGUGGGGUGUUCCACAAAGCCGGUUUUAUCACAUAACCGGGUAAGUUAACCCAGGGUUUGCUUUAACCCUAGGUUUUCCGUUCCAAAAGGAUCACGGUAUGUUAGUUGCUAUAGCAACAUAUGCUCUGAAUCAAACCUGGUCGGACCAGGUUUUGCGCAGGUUAAGUUUGAAACAUAACCCGGUUUUGGGUAUUUCAACCGGCGUUCACCGCAGAUUUCAUGUGUUCACAAUGGCAUGCCCUUUUGAUGAGAGAACUGCUGAUAUCAGAGCGCAAAUUAUACGUGCAAUCCACCGGGAGCGAUUGAUAAGACCACGGCUCGACAUCUUGGCAUAUUGGAUGACUUUUUGCUGGAGUGGAGAGAUAUAGAUUCUCGCGCAAAUCUUUAAUAUAUUUAAAUAGCCUUGCAUAGCCAACACUACCAAUCGAGGACCUGGCCUCAGUUCACUCCAGACUAUUUGCGUAGCCCUCCGUUUUUUUCAAAUGGUAGUUUUAUCUAGGCUAUAGGCCUAAUGCUGGAGAUGCUGAGCACAUCACAGUCGUUUCAGAUGACCCAUCCAAGAUUUGUAUCGGCCUCCUAUCAUACAAAGAGCAAUAUUGUCUGAGUACUAUGCCGAGAGGCAUUUACAACAUAAAGUAUAAAAUAGUCCUAACGGACUUGCAUCCACUGGAGAAUGUUCGAUCGUAGCCGGCGGCUUCAUUACAAGCACUGAUCCAUCUUGAUCUGUGAAGUUGAUGAAUUGUCACUUUUAGUGUGGGGUAUGGCCCAUGACUCUCUGAGGUGGUAGGUACCUCCAGGUAGGCUACCCCCUCCAUGCCAGGGCGCCCUGAAUUUAUGUUUAUCAACAGCUCCUCCACCGGGGUCAAGACAAUUUGAGGGCCAGAUCCAGUCUGCCGACUGUCUGCCUUUUCACGAUUGGCUUAAAAAAAUGGCUUAUUUAAAUUUAUACCAAUACGAUGGUGGGAAAAGCUUACCAGUUUGUAUGUUUUUUAUAGGCCUACUUCAUUUUUAUACUUGAUCCUCUGACCGCUUGGAAGCAAUCGGAGUACAUAUUGUUUUAGAAGAAAGGGGUUAUGUGGUAGGAUCUUUAAGAAUGCUUAACUGGGAUAUUUAUAUAUUCAUGGCUCAAAUAUUAAGGAUCAUGCUUUUGACGUGUAACUAACGCAUUUACGCGGUCAGCGAUCCGCUGCCAGGCUUUGGUUCUCCGGGUUCCAGAGGUUUUAGCGUUCCCUUUUCUUGUGAUAAUGUCCUUCUCCUCGUCAUAGCUCUCCAGGAGAACCUGGAGUUCCAUUUCAUUGAAAUAAGCGGCCCGUUUCGCCAUAUCGAUCAGGGUUUCCAUGAUCCAUACAUCACGUCUUUUUAAGUUUGGCGUGGACGCGCACAACCCUGUGUUAACCAACCCCGAGUUGAUUGAACUAAUGCAUAACCGCUGCUGUGGAACCGAAAACUCUGGGUUGGUCGGCACAGGGUCAAUCAACCUA
Molecule: long non-coding RNA, 1488 nt
Organism: Gadus macrocephalus (Pacific cod)
Lineage: Eukaryota; Metazoa; Chordata; Actinopteri; Gadiformes; Gadidae
Exons: 2
Source: RefSeq, a predicted model, not a curated record